GUGCCAGCAGCCGCGGUAAUACGUAGGUGGCAAGCGUUAUCCGGAAUUAUUGGGCGUAAAGCGCGCGUAGGCGGUUUUUUAAGUCUGAUGUGAAAGCCCACGGCUCAACCGUGGAGGGUCAUUGGAAACUGGUAAACUUGAGUGCAGAAGAGGAAAGUGGAAUUCCAUGUGUAGCGGUGAAAUGCGCAGAGAUAUGGAGGAACACCAGUGGCGAAGGCGACUUUCUGGUCUGUAACUGACGCUGAUGUGCGAAAGCGUGGGGAUCAAAC
This 269-nucleotide ribosomal RNA is filed under the name uncultured Staphylococcus sp. RNAcentral describes it as "partial 16S ribosomal RNA". It matches the Rfam family "Bacterial small subunit ribosomal RNA", at positions 505 to 773 of the family's 1533-position model. The record is from RNAcentral. Lineage: Bacteria; Bacillati; Bacillota; Bacilli; Caryophanales; Staphylococcaceae.